This 922-nucleotide ribosomal RNA is filed under the name uncultured bacterium. RNAcentral describes it as "bacterial SSU rRNA". It matches the Rfam family "Bacterial small subunit ribosomal RNA", at positions 9 to 916 of the family's 1533-position model. The record is from RNAcentral.
GAGUUUGAUCCUGGCUCAGGAUGAACGCUAGCGACAGGCUUAACACAUGCAAGUCGAGGGGCAGCGGUGGUGAAGGCUUGCCUUUACCAGCCGGCGACCGGCGCACGGGUGAGUAACACGUAUGCAACCUGCCUGCCACAGCCGGAUAAUCGGGAGAAAUUCCGUCUAAUACGGCAUAAUGCAUCGACGGGACAUCCUGUUGGUGCCAAAGGUUGAUUCCGGUGGCGGAUGGGCAUGCGUCGCAUUAGUUAGUUGGCGGUGUAACGGACCACCAAGACGACGAUGCGUAGGGGUUCUGAGAGGAAGGUCCCCCACACUGGUACUGAGACACGGACCAGACUCCUACGGGAGGCAGCAGUGAGGAAUAUUGGUCAAUGGGCGGGAGCCUGAACCAGCCAAGUCGCGUGAGGGAUGACGGCCCUAUGGGUUGUAAACCUCUUUUGCCGGGGAGCAAAGUGCCGCACGUGUGCGGUUUGGAGAGUACCCGGAGAAAAAGCAUCGGCUAACUCCGUGCCAGCAGCCGCGGUAAUACGGAGGAUGCGAGCGUUAUCCGGAUUUAUUGGGUUUAAAGGGUGCGUAGGCGGACGCUUAAGUCAGCGGUAAAAUUGCGGGGCUCAACCUCGUCGAGCCGUUGAAACUGGGUGCCUUGAGUGGGCGAGAAGUACGCGGAAUGCGUGGUGUAGCGGUGAAAUGCAUAGAUAUCACGCAGAACUCCGAUUGCGAAGGCAGCGUACCGGCGCCCAACUGACGCUGAAGCACGAAGGCGUGGGUAUCGAACAGGAUUAGAUACCCUGGUAGUCCACGCAGUAAACGAUGAAUGCUAGUUGUCCGGGGCGAUUGAGUUCUGGGUGACACAGCGAAAGCGUUAAGCAUUCCACCUGGGGAGUACGCCGGCAACGGUGAAACUCAAAGGAAUUGACGG